GAGGGUAUAGCUCAGUGGUAGAGCGCAUGCUUAGCAUGCACAAGGUCCUGGGUUCAACCCCCAGUACCUCCA
RNAcentral lists this transfer RNA (72 nucleotides) under Camelus dromedarius (Arabian camel). It matches the Rfam family "tRNA". From Rfam's summary of the family: Transfer RNA (tRNA) molecules are approximately 80 nucleotides in length. Their secondary structure includes four short double-helical elements and three loops (D, anti-codon, and T loops). Lineage: Eukaryota; Metazoa; Chordata; Mammalia; Artiodactyla; Camelidae. RNAcentral also lists the same sequence under 1 other name. The record is from Rfam by way of RNAcentral.